UGCCCCUGCGGAUAUGCGCCUCGCCUCAGGCCACCUCCUGAGUCUGCUCAGUGCCCAGCAGGGGGCGUGCGGUCGGACUUCUGAGUGCCCGGCUCCGCUAGGAAGUGUAGGGCCGUCUACCCAACCAGAAGCGCUUUCGAGACAUGCGUUUACACGCGGUUGAAGUAAUCACGGCCGUUUUUCCAGUUCCCUUUCCUACGUCUCCUCCGGCCCUUCUUGUCACCGAGGGUCGAGUGGGGUCUCCUCAGGCAGGAGGGUCCCGGGGCCGGGGUCAAUGGGGUCUCCUCGAGCUGGAGGGGGCGUGGGUCCCAGGUCGCGGGGGGCGUCAGAUCCCUAGGGUGGACGGCGGCUGCGCGGGGCCAACAGUCGAGGCCAGCGGGUCCCUAAGUGCCACCAGCCACACCCGGCGCGACGUCAGCGACUGUAGCCGCUCACCCCAGUAAAACCAGAAUGUCUUCCCCAUUCCUUGCUCACUGCCAGAAAACUGUCUGAGCCCGGCCAAGGAGACCUCUUCAGCCAGCUGCUCAAUCUUUCCUUUCAAACGCCAGUGCUUGCUAUUUCCAACUUUAAUUGGUUAGAACUUGCAACUCUGUUCAGCCCCUUCUAAAUCUGACCCCAGUUCCUCAGAACCAAAACUAGGAACAGAGCUGACUGAUCAGAAUUUCCUUUAGAUACAUGAGGGUGUGGGUAUUGAAGAAGAACGUUCCUCUGGAUCAAACAAAGCAGAUCUACUCAAUUCAAUGUAUGUUUUUAUUGUAUGCUUACUAUAUGCAAAAUGAAAUUUGAAAUAAAAAUGUGAAUAAAAUGCUUAUCUACACUUUAAUAGAAUUGAGCCCCCAACAAUAUAUAGUUAGUAGCAAAUGAAAAUAAUAUAAACUGUGAAUUGCAGGAAAUCGGUAUAAAUACAUGGAAUACCUCAGGGUAUUCAGAGAUUAUAUUGUACUACAGGAACUAUAACAUUACUGUAUUUGUAUUACUGUAUUUGUCUAAAGAAAGUUUCUUGCUUAAAAAUAUAGUCAUUUUCACAGCUUUUAACCAUUUAGAAAUUUUGGGGGGAUGAUUUGUAUAGACCAUUUACAUAUUCUAAAAUUAACUUAAAUUUUCAUUUAAGUGUUAUAUGAAUACAUCAUUGUUGAAAAAGUUUAAAAAUCAAACCAUGAUUAUCAUCCCCUUAAAUUUUCAUCAUUUAAAUUUUUUCUUGUUCUGUGUUCUAUUAUGUAAAUGGAUAGAUUUGUCCAUAGGUGUAUAGUUCUGCAGUUUUCUUUUCAGAUAUGUAGGCUGGACAUUUGACAUUGGUAUCUCUCUCCAGUGUUUGGGAAAUUCUCCAUUAAGUGUGUCUUGGUGGAAGGUGGGGUCCCAUUUCAAAGGAAGAGGUACCUCUGCAAAUAUGUUGCAAGUGUUUUUCUCUGCAGAUUGUUAUCUGGCUUUUAACAUUUUUUUUUCAAGGAAAAUUGUUACUGUUUGUGUUAUCAGGUUCAUGAAUCUGUUUUUUUGAUAGUUUCCAGGUUAUAGGUCAUGCUUACAAAACAAAACAAAAACUGUCCUCAUUCUAAGGAUAUAAAAUACCCAGUUUUUCAUAACAGCACUUUUAUAAUUAAAUGUAAUAUGUUCAAAUCUUCA
Long non-coding RNA from Marmota monax (woodchuck), 1620 nucleotides. RefSeq lists it as uncharacterized. The record is from RefSeq and is a predicted model, not a curated record. NCBI's taxonomy places the organism in Eukaryota, Metazoa, Chordata, Mammalia, Rodentia, Sciuridae. The transcript is spliced from 2 exons.